UUCGGGGAGUAUUGACAGAUUGAGAGCUCUUUCUUGAUUCGGUGGAUGGUGGUGCAUGUCCGGUCUUAGUUGGUGGAGCGAUUUGUCUGGUUAAUUCCGAUAACGAACGAGACUCUACCCUAUUAGAUAGGUGCGUGGUUCUCUGCACUUUGCACCCUUCUUAUAGGGACAAGCGGCUCCUAGCCGCACCAAACAUUGCAAUAACAGGUCUGUGAUGCCCUUAGAU
RNAcentral lists this ribosomal RNA (226 nucleotides) under Ixodes scapularis (black-legged tick). RNAcentral describes it as "eukaryotic small subunit ribosomal RNA". It matches the Rfam family "Eukaryotic small subunit ribosomal RNA", at positions 1229 to 1478 of the family's 1831-position model. Lineage: Eukaryota; Metazoa; Arthropoda; Arachnida; Ixodida; Ixodidae. The record is from RNAcentral.